RNAcentral lists this ribosomal RNA (1085 nucleotides) under uncultured Tetragenococcus sp. Its description in RNAcentral is "bacterial SSU rRNA". It matches the Rfam family "Bacterial small subunit ribosomal RNA", at positions 8 to 1067 of the family's 1533-position model. The record is from RNAcentral. Lineage: Bacteria; Bacillati; Bacillota; Bacilli; Lactobacillales; Enterococcaceae.
AGAGUUUGAUCCUGGCUCAGGACGAACGCUGGCGGCGUGCCUAAUACAUGCAAGUCGAACGCUGCUUAAGAAGAAACUUCGGUUUUUUCUUAAGUGGAGUGGCGGACGGGUGAGUAACACGUGGGGAACCUAUCCAUCAGCGGGGGAUAACACUUGGAAACAGGUGCUAAUACCGCAUACGGCUUUUUUUCACCUGAAAGAAAGCUCAAAGGCGCUUUACAGCGUCACUGAUGGCUGGUCCCGCGGUGCAUUAGCCAGUUGGUGAGGUAACGGCUCACCAAAGCAACGAUGCAUAGCCGACCUGAGAGGGUGAUCGGCCACACUGGGACUGAGACACGGCCCAGACUCCUACGGGAGGCAGCAGUAGGGAAUCUUCGGCAAUGGACGCAAGUCUGACCGAGCAACGCCGCGUGAGUGAAGAAGGUUUUCGGAUCGUAAAGCUCUGUUGUCAGCAAAGAACAGGAGAAAGAGGAAAUGCUUUUUCUAUGACGGUAGCUGACCAGAAAGCCACGGCUAACUACGUGCCAGCAGCCGCGGUAAUACGUAGGUGGCAAGCGUUGUCCGGAUUUAUUGGGCGUAAAGCGAGCGCAGGCGGUGAUUUAAGUCUGAUGUGAAAGCCCCCAGCUCAACUGGGGAGGGUCAUUGGAAACUGGAUCACUUGAGUGCAGAAGAGGAGAGUGGAAUUCCAUGUGUAGCGGUGAAAUGCGUAGAUAUAUGGAGGAACACCAGUGGCGAAGGCGGCUCUCUGGUCUGUAACUGACGCUGAGGCUCGAAAGCGUGGGUAGCAAACAGGAUUAGAUACCCUGGUAGUCCACGCCGUAAACGAUGAGUGCUAAGUGUUGGAGGGUUUCCGCCCUUCAGUGCUGCAGUUAACGCAUUAAGCACUCCGCCUGGGGAGUACGACCGCAAGGUUGAAACUCAAAGGAAUUGACGGGGGCCCGCACAAGCGGUGGAGCAUGUGGUUUAAUUCGAAGCAACGCGAAGAACCUUACCAGGUCUUGACAUCCUUUGACCGCCCUAGAGAUAGGGUUUCCCCUUCGGGGGCAAAGUGACAGGUGGUGCAUGGUUGUCGUCAGCUCGUGUCG